Oncorhynchus tshawytscha (Chinook salmon) is the source of this 380-nucleotide long non-coding RNA. The record is from Ensembl. Lineage: Eukaryota; Metazoa; Chordata; Actinopteri; Salmoniformes; Salmonidae.
GGUAAUCAGUAGAGGGUUUAUGUACCACUGGAUGUGAAAGAGGUAAUCAGUAGAGGGUUUAUGUACCACCGGAUGUGAACGAGGUAAUCAGUAGAGGGUUUAUGUGCCACUGGAUGUGAACGAGGUAAUCAGUAGAGGGUUUAUGUACCACUGGAUGUGAACGAGGUAAUCAGUAGAGGGUUUAUGUACCACUGGAUGUGAACGAGGUAAUCAGUAGAGGGUUUAUGUACCACUGGAUGUGAACGAGGUAAUCAGUAGAGUGUUUAUGACUCACUGACUCAAAUUAAAUCCUACAUCUGUAUGCGUUGCUUGUCCUGUCACCUCCCAGUGAGUACCAGUCACUCAGCCCCAGGGCCAGGCCUCUUGUCCUGUCACCUCCC